RNAcentral lists this transfer RNA (66 nucleotides) under Boreoheptagyia brevitarsis. Its description in RNAcentral is "tRNA-Thr". It matches the Rfam family "tRNA". Rfam says of the family: Transfer RNA (tRNA) molecules are approximately 80 nucleotides in length. Their secondary structure includes four short double-helical elements and three loops (D, anti-codon, and T loops). The record is from RNAcentral. Lineage: Eukaryota; Metazoa; Arthropoda; Insecta; Diptera; Chironomidae.
GUUUUAAUAGUUUAACAAAAACAUUGGUCUUGUAAAUCAAAAAUAAAAAAUUAUUUUUUUAAAACU